RNAcentral lists this ribosomal RNA (164 nucleotides) under Stylisma patens. RNAcentral's name for it is "5.8S ribosomal RNA". It matches the Rfam family "5.8S ribosomal RNA". From Rfam's summary of the family: 5.8S ribosomal RNA (5.8S rRNA) is a component of the large subunit of the eukaryotic ribosome. It is transcribed by RNA polymerase I as part of the 45S precursor that also contains 18S and 28S rRNA. Functionally, it is thought that 5.8S rRNA may be involved in ribosome translocation. The record is from RNAcentral. Lineage: Eukaryota; Viridiplantae; Streptophyta; Magnoliopsida; Solanales; Convolvulaceae.
RRAACGAACCUCGACAACGGAUAUCUCGGCUCUCGCAUCGAUGAAGAACGUAGCGAAAUGCGAUACUUGGUGUGAAUUGCAGAAUCCCGUGAACCAUCGAGUCUUUGAACGCAAGUUGCGCCCGAAGCCGUCAGGCCGAGGGCACGUCUGCCUGGGCGUCACGC